This is a long non-coding RNA of Mus musculus (house mouse), 2012 nucleotides long. RefSeq annotates it as predicted gene, 41108. The transcript is spliced from 3 exons. The record is from RefSeq and is a predicted model, not a curated record. NCBI's taxonomy places the organism in Eukaryota, Metazoa, Chordata, Mammalia, Rodentia, Muridae.
CCUUGAUCAGAUUCUGAAUAUUUGCAGCCCCAGCUACUGUGUGAGUCUUAUUUGUGUGGGGUAUAAACAAUGGCUUCAGGUUAACCAUCCAUGUUGAGUGACCAGUACAGUUGAGGUGGUGGGAGGUAGCAGCCUGACAGCUAUCAUGGCAGGUCUCUAUCAAGCCAGUGACUUAAUUUCCUUCCUUUCCCAGGUUUGAUAAGUAGCAGCAGGAGAUGGAACUGGCCACAGCCCAGGAAGAGAGAGUCCUGCAGAAAGACCUGCUGUAUCAGGAGCCCCCUGCUGAGCCCCAUCCACUGAAACCACAGAAUCCCUUGGGCUCAGAAACUCAUGUAUGAAUCUGGCCUCAAACUUGAUGCAUAGCCAAGGAUGACCUUGAACUUCUGCCUCUGCUUCCUGGGUGUUGGGGAUGGAAACCAGACUUUUGUGUAUACUAGGAUCACCAGUAUCCCCAGCUGCCUCUGAAUUCACUAUGUAAGCCCAAUGCAAGCCCUGGCAGAUGUCUUCAACACCAGAGUGACACUCAGCCUGAAGGCCAGGAUUGAAGGCUGGAAGUACAGGGGCAAGAAAUACCUUUGAAAAUACUCCAGUGUCCAAACUGCUCACUGGUGUUGCUGCCUUGUGAGCCAGGGCACGAGGCUUUGUUGAGGUCACUACUUUUCAUUCCCUCCAAGAUGGACAAGAUGUUUGUUUUGUGCACAGAAUGGAGCAGUGUCUUGAACGUGCUACACAAGCCCCCUAACAGCCAAGCGAAUCCAGCAGCUCUACAGACAUCCUUUCACUAAGCAGUUAUUUCUCCUCCGAUGUUCUGAUCGCUGUGGGCAGCCUCCAAACACUUUUUGAAAAAGCUGGAGAGAAAGGCAAGCUUGAAAAGGGGAAUGCAGGAUAGAGGCAAAGGGAGAGAAGCAGGCAAGCGACUCCACAAUGAUACUCAUUCCUUUAUUGUCAACUGUGUUCAUCUCAACAGGGCUGGGGCCUGCAGGCUGCUGGCAGCACCAAGCUAAGGUGCAUUUCCACUCAACAGAAAGGCCUCCAUCCUAAACCAAGUGGGCAGAGGUUAAUGCUUUAUAUAUAUUUAUAUAUUUAUAUAUUACAUAUGUUCUAGAUAUACAUAUGUCCCAUAUGUAUAGAGUGACAAGAAUGGGCCACUUUGUGUAACUUUAAUUAAAGGCCAUAGCAACAGACAUAGAAAUUUGAUCCUAAUUAAGGCCCGCACUUUGUCAAUCAAAUGUCUGAUACAGUAAAAGAAAAAGAAGAGAGACAGAGACUGAGAUCCAGCCACCUCCGGUAGCCCUGUCUCCAGGGUAUCUUACAUUGAGUGUAGUGCCACCUGUACAGGUGAACAUAAACACACACAUAAACACACACAUAUAAUACCACAGGCAGGAGCACCUCUUCUGACCACACCUUGGGCCCAGCCUUUGGCUGCAGUGCUGAAGUGGAGUAUAUUGUGCUAUAAGACUGUGAGGGUAGUGGACCAGACAAUGUGGAGUCAGUGUGUCCAAGUGAUGAAUGGGGUGACUCAUGCAGCUUCAUCUACAAAUGACAGAGAGCUCAGGGGAGGUCCCUCAAUGCACAGUUCACAUCAGGAGAUUUCUACACACAGCUCCUGUUCCAGAGAAAGCCAUUCCUCUGAUUUGAAUCCUGAGUGUCAAUCACAGGGUUCUGACAGAAACCUAGGGUUCCUUUGAAGGGCAGGCAGCCGCAAGGCUCGGCCAUUCAGUCCAGUGGAGCAGUAGAGAGCACAACAGUGGAGUCAAAGCAAAUGAUACUCAGACAGGACCCUGAAUGGUGCAAGAGGGGCUCAUUUCCCAAAAGGACGAGAAGGACUGCUGCCCUUUGCCACACAGAACUUCUGGCAGAUCUGUCAGCUUCAUGUCUUACAUAAGUAACAGACCUGCUCAUAAGCCAGGGAAGGAGACUCCCAACAUUAGGGCACUGGAAAUCCUAACUCCCUGUUUCCUCUCCCAGAAUUUACCCACUACCACCCACCAAAAUAUGCAUAUUGAAAA